AUUGAACGCUGGCGGCAUGCUUUACACAUGCAAGUCGAACGGCAGCGCGGGCUUCGGCCUGGCGGCGAGUGGCGAACGGGUGAGUAAUGCAUCGGAACGUGCCCAGUAGUGGGGGAUAGCCCGGCGAAAGCCGGAUUAAUACCGCAUACGACCUGAGGGUGAAAGCGGGGGACCGAAAGGCCUCGCGCUAUUGGAGCGGCCGAUGUCGGAUUAGCUAGUUGGUGGGGUAAAGGCUUACCAAGGCGACGAUCCGUAGCUGGUCUGAGAAGACGACCAGCCACACUGGGACUGAGACACGGCCCAGACUCCUACGGGAGGCAGCAGUGGGGAAUGUUGGACAAUGGGGGCAACCCUGAUCCAGCCAUGCCGCGUGCGGGAAGAAGGCCUUCGGGUUGUAAACCGCUUUUGUUCGGGAAGAAAUCCUCUGGGCUAAUACCCCGGGGGGAUGACGGUACCGGAAGAAUAAGCACCGGCUAACUACGUG
Molecule: ribosomal RNA, 484 nt
Filed under: uncultured bacterium
Lineage: Bacteria
Description: partial 16S ribosomal RNA
Rfam family: Bacterial small subunit ribosomal RNA
Source: RNAcentral